RNAcentral lists this ribosomal RNA (484 nucleotides) under uncultured bacterium. Its description in RNAcentral is "partial 16S ribosomal RNA". It matches the Rfam family "Bacterial small subunit ribosomal RNA", at positions 30 to 507 of the family's 1533-position model. The record is from RNAcentral.
AUUGAACGCUGGCGGCAGGCCUAACACAUGCAAGUCGAGCGGAUGAAGGGAGCUUGCUCCUGGAUUCAGCGGCGGACGGGUGAGUAAUGCCUAGGAAUCUGCCUGGUAGUGGGGGAUAACGUCCGGAAACGGGCGCUAAUACCGCAUACGUCCUGAGGGAGAAAGUGGGGGAUCUUCGGACCUCACGCUAUCAGAUGAGCCUAGGUCGGAUUAGCUAGUUGGUGGGGUAAAGGCCUACCAAGGCGACGAUCCGUAACUGGUCUGAGAGGAUGAUCAGUCACACUGGAACUGAGACACGGUCCAGGCUCCUACGGGAGGCAGCAGUGGGGAAUAUUGGACAAUGGGCGAAAGCCUGAUCCAGCCAUGCCGCGUGUGUGAAGAAGGUCUUCGGAUUGUAAAGCACGUUAAGUUGGGAGGAAGGGCAGUAAGUUAAUACCUUGCUGUUUUGACGUUACCAACAGAAUAAGCACCGGCUAACUUCGUG